CCUACGGUAGGCAGCAGUGGGGAAUAUUGCACAAUGGUGGAAACCCUGAUGCAGCGACGCCGCGUGAGCGAUGAAGUAUUUCGGUAUGUAAAGCUCUAUCAGCAGGGAAGAAAAUGACGGUACCUGACUAAGAAGCCCCGGCUAACUACGUGCCAGCAGCCGCGGUAAUAUGUAGGGGGCAAGCGUUACACGGAUUUACUGGGUGUAAAGGGAGCGUAGACGGCGGUGCAAGCCAGAUGUGAAAGCCCGGGGCUCAACCCCGGGACUGCAUUUGGAACUGUGAUGCUAGAGUGCAGGAGGGGCAGGCGGAAUUCCUAGUGUAGUGGUGAAAUGCGUAGAUAUUAGGAGGAACACCAGUGGCGAAGGCGGCCUGCUGGACGGUGUACUGACGCUGAGGCUCGAAAGCGUGGGGAGCAAACAGGAUUAGAUACCCUUGUAGUC
RNAcentral lists this ribosomal RNA (441 nucleotides) under uncultured bacterium. RNAcentral describes it as "partial 16S ribosomal RNA". It matches the Rfam family "Bacterial small subunit ribosomal RNA", at positions 338 to 795 of the family's 1533-position model. The record is from RNAcentral.